Neofelis nebulosa (Clouded leopard) is the source of this 2135-nucleotide long non-coding RNA. RefSeq lists it as uncharacterized. NCBI's taxonomy places the organism in Eukaryota, Metazoa, Chordata, Mammalia, Carnivora, Felidae. The transcript is spliced from 4 exons. The record is from RefSeq and is a predicted model, not a curated record.
AUCGGCAGUAAGGCCAGCGUGUGUGUUAACUCGGACUGCUUUUUCCUGCUGCAGGAAACUUUGGAAGGAAUCGGCACAUUUACCCCCGUACUAAGUGGAUUGGAAGACACACCUGAGGUGCCCCAAUCCAAGGGACCCUCAGGUCCGAUGAAGACCGGUCUGCGGAGGAGGGCUUCUUCACCAGACAUUCCAACAAAGAACAGAUUGUCAGAAGGCAUCAGACCCCCACCCCCUGCCCCCAGUGUUUAAAUUCCAGGGACUGAAGAGCUGACUUUCACUUUCUAGAAGUGUCAGCAUUCCGGGCACCACCCCCACUCUCCAGUCCAAGGCCUGAGGUUUAAUUUACCACUGAUAUCAUUGGAAUGGUGAGGCGUUUUCGCAUCGUAUUAAGUUCUGCUUUCUACGAAAGUUUGUCAUGUGUCAGAAAAUGUGAAACACUCAGCUGGCCCUGGUGCCUGUUCUGACGUCACAAAGACGUCACUUUGUACUCACUGGGCCUCAGUUUUCUCACCUAAAAUGUGGACACAAGAUGAUUUUAUUUUAUUAUUUUUUUAACGUUUACUUAUUAUUGAGAGAGCAUGAACAUGGGAGGGGCAGAGAGAGGGGGAGCCACACAAUCCGAAGCAGGCUCCAGGCUCGGAGCUGUCAGCACAGAGCCCCAAGCGGGGCUUGAACCCAGGAACUCAUGAACUGUGAGAUCAUGACCUGACCCCAAGUAGGACGCUUAACCGACUGAGCCACCCGGGCGCCCCUACAAGAUGAUUUUUAAAGAUACUUUCAGAUUGAACCAAAGAACUGGGAGGUGACAGUUCAGUCUCAUACUCAGAUUUGGGGGCUGGGAAGCUUUGCUAAUCCCACCCCUACCCCCACCCCGCCACCCCCGCAAAACCAGAGAAAUGUAACCGUUCUACUGUGAGAGCACCCAAAGGCGGAUAUCGGAAAAUAGAGAGUCCUGGGAAGACACCAGGAGUCAGCGGGCCCCUGGGAAGGAACCUUCAGGCAAGAAGGCUGCCAGGGGUUUCCUUGCUUUCCUCCUGGGGAGGAGGAGGAGGGCAGUGGGCCAAAGCGCCGGGGCAGUCAGCCCACGUGGGAGUACUGUGUGACAAAUACACUAUCUUCACAAAUUUGAUCUUAUGAUCCUGGGUCCGGUUAAAGAACAUGUCUUGCAUUGCUGGCAAACUCCUGCACGUGGAGAAUGGCGUAUUCAGAGGCAAUCGUUGCAGCACUGUUUACGAUACAGAAGAUUGGGAAGAAGCACAGCAGCCUAUCAGGAGAAACUGGAAGGCAAAUUGAAGACAUCUUCAAAUGACAAACAAAAAACAGAAUGAACCACCCUAGACCCUUAUUAAGGAAACUUGCAAGCAUGUACCUGAAAAGAAAACUGAACCUAGGGGAAAAAAUUGUGAGAUUCAAGAAGAAAGAGUGAGUAAACACUGGGAAAAUGAAAUAAAACCGAACAAAUUAUGACUACUCAAAACUACCUUUCCAGACCAGAAGAAGGUAGGACACACGGCCACAGAGUGCAGCAUGUGAGAUCGGAGAGGUCCUUGCCCAGGACAGACGGCAGCAGAACCACGGACGAAACCGUGAAGAAACCCGUCAGGGUUAGUGGAUACAGCUGCAUCUGUGUGAACCCGCUGGCUGGACCAUCACAACGGGAACAGCCAAGAUUCGAAGGCUGGGGAAGUGCAUGGAAAGUGUUUCUACUGCUUUGCAACUUUUAAGUCCAAAGUCAAUUAAAAAAAAAAAAAAGUUUUAAAGGUUAAGAAAAACAAGAACAAAACCGUUUUCGAUAAUACCACUUUUUUUUAAAUGGUAAACAUUUAAGCUGGGAACGUUCUGCUUAUUUUUUUCUUCAUAGUACUCAAUACCAUCAAACGUGUUUUAUAUUUAUGUACGGAUCAACUAUCUGUCCUCACUAGCAGGUAGCUCCCUGAGGACAAGGAUUUGGGCUGUUUUGUCAACUACUAUGCUAAACCCAGAGCGCUGCCUGGCAUGUAGUAGGUGCUCCGGAAAUAUUUGUUGAGUGAAUAAGGAACAGCUGCUCACUGAUUGGUUUCAUUUAUUUGUAUCUGUUGUGCAACAUUUUAAUAAUGAGCAUUACCGGGUGAUACAGCUACGAGAUAUCCCCCCCC